GGAAAUUGGGAUAAUUUUUAUCCAAAAAAUAUCCUCAAACUUUUAAAUAGAAUGAGAUAAAAUUUUUAGAGCAUAGCACGUAUUUGAUAUAACUUUUUUAUAAGAAUAGAUGCUCAACCAAAUAUAAACUAUUCUGAAACGUAUUAUUUUGCAAGAUUACCGAGGCACCAGCUUCGCAGCAAAAAUAUUUCAGCGAGAAAAUUUUUGCUAGGAACUAAACAAGUCUCGAGAAGAAACAUGGAAAGAAAUACAAGAAGAAAGACACACACUAAUAUAACUUCUCCUGACAACCCACAAUGGAGACGUUAGAAAUGCCAAAGAUUUCAAGUUGCCCUGCCGGAGAGUCAGGACACUUGCCUUUCAAUCAAGCAGCCAUUCUUUCCAAGUUCCAACUCUCGUUACAAAACGACUUCAACACAACGCAAGCAUGGAAAGGCAGACGACGACGACAAGACUGGCAGCAAGACCAGAGCAGAUUUUUUCUUUUGAUUGAACCCACCACCUCCCACCACCAUCACUGGUGAGGGAAUACGGCCACCCUCCCUCACAUGGUGGGACGGAAGAAAUGAUUCACGUGGUCUUCGAGAGAGAUGGGAAAGGCGAGCUCACCUCGGAUAGUUAUAUAGACUCGAGAGGGGUUUCUGGCUCUUCGAAGUGAGGAAAGGGUGAGCGGGUUUGGGCUCUUCGUUCCUUGAGAGAUGGGAUCUUCUGGGAAUAUGCUCUCGUUGCUGACACCAUCUUUCACUUCUUUUUUAAUAUUUCUGUCUCUAUUUGGUUGGGUAUCUGAGGAUAUCCCAGAAGGGUGUUAAAGGGAUGCCUUCUACUUUUCUUCCGUU
This 836-nucleotide long non-coding RNA is filed under the name Phoenix dactylifera (date palm). Its description in RNAcentral is "long non-coding RNA (PDAC_LNC006615)". Lineage: Eukaryota; Viridiplantae; Streptophyta; Magnoliopsida; Arecales; Arecaceae. The record is from RNAcentral.